GACGAACGCUGGCGGCGUGCCUAAUACAUGCAAGUCGAGCGGGCCUCCGGAGGUGCUUGCACCUCCGGAAGGCCAGCGGCGGACGGGUGAGUAACACGUGGGCAACCUGCCUUUGAGGCCGGGAUAACACCGGGAUACCGGUGCUAAUACCGGAUACGUCCUCUUUCGCGCCUGCGAGAGGGGAGAAAGACGGUCUUUAAGGCCGUCGCUCAAAGAGGGGCCCGCGGCGCAUUAGCUGGUUGGUGGGGUAAGGGCCUACCAAGGCGACGAUGCGUUGCCGACCUGGGAGGGUGAUCGGCCACACUGGGACUGAGACACGGCCCAGACUCCGGCGGGAGGCAGCAGUAGGGAAUCAUCCGCAAUGGGCGAAAGCCUGACGGUGCAACGCCGCGUGAGUGAGGAAGGUUUUCGGAUCGUAAAGCUCUGUUGUGAGGGAAGAACAGCUUCCGGAGGAAAUGCCGGAGGUUUGCCGGUACCUCACCAGAAAGCCCCGGCUAACUACGUGCCAGCCGCCGCGGUAA
Molecule: ribosomal RNA, 521 nt
Filed under: uncultured bacterium
Lineage: Bacteria
Description: partial 16S ribosomal RNA
Rfam family: Bacterial small subunit ribosomal RNA
Source: RNAcentral